AUUGAACGCUGGCGGCAUGCUUUACACAUGCAAGUCGGACGGCAGCACAGUGAAGCUUGCUUCUUGGGUGGCGAGUGGCGGACGGGUGAGUAAUAUAUCGGCACGUACCGACUAAUGGGGGAUAACUAAUCGAAAGAUUAGCUAAUACCGCAUAUUCCCUGAGGAGGAAAGCAGGGGACCUUCGGGCCGUACGUUAUUCGAGCGGCCGAUUUCUGAUUAGCUAGUUGGUGGGGUAAAGGCCUACCAGGGCGACGAUCAGUAGCGGGUCUGAGAGGAUGAUCCGCCACCCUGGGACUGGGCCACGGCCCAGGCUCCUACGGGAGGCAGCAGUGGGGAAUUUUGGCCAGUGGGGGCAAGCCUUACCCAGCCGUCCCGCGUGUCUGAAGAAGGCCUUGGGGUUGUAAAGGACGUUUUUCGGGGAAAAAAAGGCUGUUGCUAAUACCGACAGCUGGUGACGGUACCUGAAGAAUAAGCACCGGCUAACUACGUG
This 490-nucleotide ribosomal RNA is filed under the name uncultured bacterium. RNAcentral's name for it is "partial 16S ribosomal RNA". It matches the Rfam family "Bacterial small subunit ribosomal RNA", at positions 30 to 507 of the family's 1533-position model. The record is from RNAcentral.